This is a long non-coding RNA of Capsicum annuum, 4776 nucleotides long. RefSeq lists it as uncharacterized. The record is from RefSeq and is a predicted model, not a curated record. NCBI's taxonomy places the organism in Eukaryota, Viridiplantae, Streptophyta, Magnoliopsida, Solanales, Solanaceae. The transcript has 3 exons.
UUUAAUAUUAGUUUUCAUUAUCUUAACAUUACGAACCCAACAUGCAACUCUCUGUAGCCCUAUCUAUAAACAGUCCUUUACUCAAAAGUGAGAAUCAUUUCAGCCCAGAAAGAGGCCAACAGAGCUCAAAAUAAUGGAUGUUCAUGGAGGGUGGUUGUCCUCUCUGUUUGGCCUGUGAUUUCCACCAAAUCAACAACCCUCCCUUUCUCUUAUUUCCCAACAAAAACCAAUAAAAUAAAAUAAAAUAAAGUAUUAACAUGUUUAUGUCAACAGCAAGAGCAGUACUAUUAUUAUUACUUCCUCUUUUCCAUCUUUUCACCUUUCUUUUAAAAACAGUCCACAAAUUGCUACUACCGAAAAAAGGCAAUGAUGAUGAUAUUUAUUAUUUGCUGUGUGAUAAUGAUUUCUGGGCAGAACUUAUUAUUAUUAUUAUUAUUAUUAUUAUUAUUAUUAUUCGGAGCAAUGGAGAAAACCCGACCCGUAUCUUGGCGGGGCAAGACCCGAAACCUGGUUCGUUUUCGCAGCCAUGGCGUUGUCGUAGUUUUCUCCGUUUUGUUUCCCCCAUUUUACACACAUCUGAGCCUCCCUCUAUUUGAUAAUUUCGGAUCCGGGUCGGAUCUGAAUUUCGGACCAUUAGGUUUGGUCAAUGUCACCAUUACUCAAUUCAAUAAUAAAAGACACCUAUCCUUCAAUUUUCUCUAAUCUCUUUAGCUUGUCUGCAAAGAUUGUUUUACUCAAGAAUGAGGAUCAUUUCAGCCUAGAAUGAGGCCAACAGAGAGAAUAGAUUUUCAUGGGAGGGUGGUUGCCCUCUCUGUUUGGUCUAUGAUUUCCACCAAAAUCAACAACCCUCCCUUCCUCUCAUUUCCAAUGAACUCUACUUUGGCAUUGAUGCCAACAGUAUAGUACUUCUAAUAUUAUUACUCCCUCUGAUACAUUUUGUACUUUUCUUUUGGAAACACAGUCCACAAAUUGCUACCACAAAAAAAAAGAGAGGCAAUGAUGAUGAUAUUAAUUAUUUGCUGUGUGAUGAUGAUAUCUGGGCUGAAAAUUAUUAUUAUUAUUCGGGGCAAUGGAGAAAACCCGACCCGUAUCUUGGCGGGUCAAUACCCGAAACCCGGUUCGUUUUGCUGCCAUGGCGUUGUCGUAUUUUUCUUCUUUUUGCUCCCCAUUUUACACACAUCUGAGCCUCCCUCUAUUUGAUAAAUUCGGGUCCGGGUCGAAAAUGAUUUUUUUUAGAAACAACAUAAAUCCCUACAGUUUGCUUAAUUGUAGGAAAUUCUGAUAUUUGCAUAGUCACUGAAAUCUCAAUUUUGGGUCUAGUCCCCGAUACAUCCAAUGAAAUACAUUUUUUUCUUUACAAAAAUACAUAAUUAGCUUCCUAUACUUUCUUUUUUAUUUUAGAUGUGUCGAGAUACAUAAUUAGCUCCCGAUACAUCCAAAGAAGAUACACAUUAUUUGGUAUUUUUGUACUCCCUCCGUUUCAAAAAAAUGAUCUAUUUUUCUUUUUAGUCCAUUUCAAAAUGAAUGACCUUAUUUUUAUAAUACUUUAAUUUCAAUUUUACAUACGACAUGCUUAAAGAUUGAAAGAAAUUUUGGUACAUUUGAUACAACUGUAAUUUAGGACCAUAAGAAUAAAAAAUCUUCUUUACUUUUUUAGACUCCGUGCCAAGUCAAACUAGGUCAUUCUUUUUUAAACGGAGGGAGCAAUGAUUUUGCAAGGGUAGGGAUUUGUCUAAGUGUAACUGGUAAAGUAAUGUGAUGUGAUUAGAAUGUUAUGGUUUGAGUCGUGGAAACAGCCUCUUGCAGAAAUGCUAUAAACCUUUGUGACCGGCUCCGCGGUAUUGGGAGCGUUGUGCACCGGGUUGCUCUUUUUUCAGGGUGGUUGGCCAUAUGUGAUGGUUGAGCUUUGCUGUAUCUUGGCGUGGCAGCUUUUGGUGGGUCUUCCGAGAUAUUGGAGCUAUUUUGGUUUCUGCCUCUAGCAAAGGCUCCUUGUACUAGCAGCCAUGGUGGGGUUUAGCUUAUGUUUGAGAAAAGGUGAAUCUGCGCUACCCAAAUAUCUGUUUGUGUUGAAAGAAUUGAUGCUUUUUAUACUACACAACUUAUGCUGCUUAAGUUAAUAUCUACAGAACUUAUGAGACAAAAGCUCUCUAAACUUACCAGGUGGCUUUCCAAACAGGCCCUUAUAGGCUCCAAUCUCCAUCUAUAAAGAGUUUUUACUCAAGAAUGUGGAUCAGUUUAGCCCAGAAGGUAGAAUGAGACCAACAGGGAGAACAAAAAAAUGGAUUUCUUGGAGGGUGGUUGCCCUCUCUGAUUGACCUAUGAUUUCUCCAUCCCUCCAAACUAACAGCCCUCCAUUGCUAUAGCAUCAAUAGUACUACUAAUUAUUACUCCCUCCGUUCCAUUUUUACUUUUCUUGAAAACUGUCCACAAAUUGCUAUAUUAAAGAGGCAGUGAUGCUGAUAUUUGCUGUGUGAUGGUUCUUCUGGGCUGAAAAAAUUCGGGGCAUGGAGAAAACUCGACUUGUAUCUUGGCGGGGCAAAACUCAAAACGGGGUUUAUUUUGCAGAAAUGGCGUUGUUGUUGUCUUCUCCUAUCCCCCUCACCAAACACACAUAUUCUACACACAUUUGAGCCUCUAUUUCAAAUCCAGAUCUGAUGGAAACCCAGAUCAUUUUAGCUCAAAAGACUUGAGGCAAUCAGGAAAAAAAUUGGGAAUUUUUCAGUCUCUGGUAUGCCAAUGAUUUCUUGUUUGAUCUAAUUAACAGCCCUUUUUAGCUUUUGCUGUGAUUUCCUGGAUUUUGGGGACUUUACACUUUACUCGUUACAUAUAUAUUUUUUUAAUCUAAUUAAUGUGAGAAUGGGUUGCAACCUAUAGUAUUUUUUGGUAUAGUUUUCAAAUAUCUAAAUUUAAAAUUUAAAAUCUUGCAUUAAUCUAAGGAGCUGUUUGGCCAUGAAUAUUAUUCAUAUUAAAUGAGCAUUAUUUCAGCCCAGAAUGAGACCAACGACAGCAAAUAAUUGGAUUUUCAUGGAGGUUGGUUGCUCUCUCUCGUUGGCCUGUGAUUUCUCCUUUAACCAAACAAACAACCCUUUCCAAAAGUAGAAACAAGAAGCAAUGGUUGUUGCCGUCGCCUUCAAUGCUAGCAAUGUGAUGCUGAUGGGAGUAAUACUUUUCAAUUUUCUGAUCAUACUGAGCUACAUUUAAUUGCAGUUCUUUAAGGACGUGGGGCAAAAGAGAAAAUGGCCCUGAGCUAAGGUCUCAUUUCUUUUAUGUUUAUGCUUAAAUGCCACUUAAAAUAAGUCCUCCAUCCAAACAGGCUCUUGUUAAGGAUGUUCGAACAGGUUCCUGUGGAAAAGUUUCCAUUUUUGUCGAAAGAGGCUUUGAUGAUAUUGUUAAUUUGGGCUGAUUUUGGGGGCAUCUAGAUAAUCUGACCAGUAUCUUGGCAUGGCAAACCCGAGUGGCUUGUGAUUGAGUUUUCUCUUUCACAUGUCACUGGUUCUUUUGCAGCCAUGGCGAUUGUCACCUUCUCUUUGCCCCAUUUUUGGCAUUCUUAGCCUCCACUUCCACCUAGUCCAACUGGAUGCUCGAGGAGUUCUGAACCUAAAUGACGAUAAAAUUCUCUGUAUACACACACAAACACAUCAUGAGAAAAUGUCAAAAAUGGUUCCUUACCCGGACAGUGAUGAUCUUUAAAUCUAUCUUCUUGAGCUAGUAAUUGAGCAUUGAGAGUACCCAACUGGUAUCUUGGUGGGGCAAUGACCCGGAUGGCUGUGAUUUAUUGCAUGCACCUUGGGAGUACUUGCAGCCAAGGAUUAGGCCAACAGAGUACAAAAAAUGGAUUUAUUGGAGGAUGGUUGCCUCUCUAAUUGGCCUAUGAUUUCUCCGUCCCACCAAAUCAACAACCCUCUGUUGCUAUAUUUGUGAAAUUUCCAAAAAUAAAUAAAUAAAUAAAUAAAUUCCGUUGCCAUUGAUGUGAUGUUGAUAGCAGCAGUAGUACUAUACUAAUACUCCCUCCAUUCCACUUUACUUUUCUUGAAACCUGUCCAUAAGUUGCAGUAGAAAAGUUUCCAUCUUUCUAAAGAGGCAGUGAUGAUAUUUGCUGAUGAUUCUGGGCUGACAUUCGGGGCAUGGAGAGAACACGACUCAUAUCUUGGUGGGGCAAACUUAAUGCAUGCAACCGGUUUAUUUUGCAGCCAUGGCGUUGUCAUGUCUUUUCCUCUUUGCCCAAUUUUCCACAUAUCUGAGCUUCUAUUUCAAAUCUGUAUUCAGAUCCUUGUUUGAUGGAAACCCAGUUCGUUUUUGUUCAAAAGACCGAAACAAUCGGAGAGAAAUGCGGAUUUGUUUUUCACGGUGGUUGACCAUCUCCGCAGCAGCUCUAUGGUUAGAUGGACUACGGCACAGAUGACGGUAGAUUUUUUUCAGUGGUUGAAACAGGGUGGGUAGCUGUGUAUGUUAGGCAGAAGAAAUGGUGGAAUUUGUUGCCAGGAAUGCUCGGUGUUUUGAAGAGAAAAGCAGCUCCAUGCAGAAUUGCCUUUUUUUUUUUUUUUUUGGUGUAAAGUUACCUGGUACUUGUUACUGGUGGGAGGUGGUAGAUCCUGUGAAAAUAGUCGUGAAGCGCUCAAGCUAGCCUGGCAGGCGGCAAACACGAUUGUCAAAAAAAUAAAAAAAAAUGUGAAAAAUCAUGGCGAAUCUUACUAGACAUUAUGGAUUCCCAUGUAAGAUGAACAAGGCAUUUUUAGUUGCUGUUUCUGUUUCUUUUAUUAGUAUUUGAAAUCUGUA